AAUCAACGCUGGCGGCGUGCCUAACACAUGCAAGUCGCACGAGAAAGGGUCUUCGGAUCUGAGUAAAGUGGCGCACGGGUGAGUAACAUGUGAAUUAUCUACCUUCGAGUGGGGAAUAACUCCGGGAAAUCGAGGCUAAUACAGCAUAUUAUCUACGGAUCAAAGCAGUAAUGCGCUUGAAGAGGAGUUCGCGGCAGAUUAGUUAGUUUGCGGGCUAAUGGCCCACCAAGACGAUGAGCUGUAUCCGGCCUGAGAAGGCGCACAGACACACUGGAACUGAAACACGGUCCAGACUCCUACGGGAGGCAGCAGUGGAGAAUUUUGCGCAAUGGGGGAAACCCUGACGCAGCAACGCCGCGUGGAGGAUGAAGUCUCUUGGGACGUAAACUCCUUUCGAUAGGGAAGAUUAUGACGGUACCUAUAGAAGAAGCCCCGGCAAACUUCGUGCCAGCCGCCGCCGUAA
Molecule: ribosomal RNA, 463 nt
Filed under: uncultured bacterium
Lineage: Bacteria
Description: partial 16S ribosomal RNA
Rfam family: Bacterial small subunit ribosomal RNA
Source: RNAcentral